GACGAACGCUGGCGGCGUGCUUAACACAUGCAAGUCGAACGGUAACACACUACCUUUCUGUUCUGCUUGAGUGGCGAACGGGUGAGUAACACGUGAGUAACCUGCCCUAGACUUUGGUAUAAGCUCUGGAAACUGCGUCUAAUACCGGAUAGGAGACCCCGCUGCAUGGCUAGUGUCUGAAAAUUUUUUCGGUUUGGGAUGGACUCGCGGCUUAUCAGCUUGUUGGUUGGGUAGUGGCUUACCAAGGCAAAGAAGGGUAGCCGGCCUGAGAGGGCGAACGGCCACAAUGGGACUGAGAGACGGACCAGACUCCUACGGGAGGCAGCAGUGGGGAAUAUUGCACAAUGGGCGAAAGCCUGAUGCAGAGACGCCGCGGGAGGGAUGACGGCCUGCGGGUUGUAAACCGCUGUCGGCAGAGAAGAAGCGAAAGUGACGGUACCGGAAGAAGAAGCACCGGCUAACUACGUG
This 468-nucleotide ribosomal RNA is filed under the name uncultured bacterium. RNAcentral describes it as "partial 16S ribosomal RNA". It matches the Rfam family "Bacterial small subunit ribosomal RNA", at positions 28 to 507 of the family's 1533-position model. The record is from RNAcentral.